GACGAACGCUGGCGGCGUGCCUAAUACAUGCCAGUUGAGCGCUGAAGGUUGGUACUUGUACCAACUGGAUGAGCAGCGAACGGGUGAGUAACGCGUGGGGAAUCUGCCUUUGAGCGGGGGACAACAUUUGGAAACGAAUGCUAAUACCGCAUAAAAACUUUAAACACAAGUUUUAAGUUUGAAAGAUGCAAUUGCAUCACUCAAAGAUGAUCCCGCGUUGUAUUAGCUAGUUGGUGAGGUAAAGACUCACCAAGGCGAUGAUACAUAGCCGACCUGAGAGGGUGAUCGGCCACAUUGGGACUGAGACACGGCCCAAACUCCUACGGGAGGCAGCAGUAGGGAAUCUUCGGCAAUGGACGAAAGUCUGACCGAGCAACGCCGCGUGAGUGAAGAAGGUUUUCGGAUCGUAAAACUCUGUUGGUAGAGAAGAACGUUGGUGAGAGUGGAAAGCUCAUCAAGUGACGGUAACUACCCAGAAAGGGACGGCUAACUACGUG
RNAcentral lists this ribosomal RNA (497 nucleotides) under uncultured bacterium. RNAcentral's name for it is "partial 16S ribosomal RNA". It matches the Rfam family "Bacterial small subunit ribosomal RNA", at positions 28 to 507 of the family's 1533-position model. The record is from RNAcentral.